RNAcentral lists this ribosomal RNA (391 nucleotides) under uncultured bacterium. Its description in RNAcentral is "bacterial SSU rRNA". It matches the Rfam family "Bacterial small subunit ribosomal RNA", at positions 29 to 409 of the family's 1533-position model. The record is from RNAcentral.
AACGAACGCUGGCGGCGCGCCUAAUACAUGCAAGUCGAGCGAGAAGACGUAGCAAUACGUUUGUAAAGCGGCGAACGGGUGAGGAAUACAUGGGUAACCUACCCUCGAGUGGGGAAUAACUAGCCGAAAGGUUAGCUAAUACCGCGUACGCUCCUUGGACUUCGGUUCAGGGAGGAAAGCGAUACCGUGGGUAUCGCGCUCUUGGAUGGGCUCAUGUCCUAUCAGCUUGUUGGUGAGGUAACGGCUCACCAAGGCUUCGACGGGUAGCUGGUCUGAGAGGACGAUCAGCCACACUGGCACUGCGACACGGGCCAGACUCCUACGGGAGGCAGCAGUAAGGAAUAUUGCGCAAUGGGCGAAAGCCCUGACGCAGCGACGCCGCGUGGGGGAU